This 442-nucleotide ribosomal RNA is filed under the name uncultured beta proteobacterium. RNAcentral describes it as "bacterial SSU rRNA". It matches the Rfam family "Bacterial small subunit ribosomal RNA", at positions 133 to 570 of the family's 1533-position model. The record is from RNAcentral. Lineage: Bacteria; Pseudomonadati; Pseudomonadota; Betaproteobacteria.
GUAAUGGGGGAUAGCUCGGCGAAAGCCGGAUUAAUACCGCAUACGCCCUGAGGGGGAAAGUGGGGGAUCGCAAGAACUCACGUUAUUGGAGCGGGCGAUUGCUGAUUAACUAAUUGGUAAGGUAAAAAGCUACCAAAGCGACGAUCAGUAGCUGGUCUGAGAAGACGAUCAGNCACACUGGGACUGAGACACGGCCCAGACUCCUACGGGGGGCAGCAGUGGGGAAUUUUGGACCAUGGGGGAAGCCCUGAUCCAGCAAUGCCGCGUGCGCGAAGAAGGCCUUCGGGUUGUAAAGCACUUUUGUCAGGGAAGAAAUCCUUUGGGCUAAUACCCUAUGGGGAUGACGGUACCUGAAGAAUAAGCACCGGCUAACUACGUGCCAGCAGCCGCGGUAAUACGUAGGGUGCAAGCGUUAAUCGGAAUUACUGGGCGUAAAGCGUGC